Molecule: ribosomal RNA, 573 nt
Filed under: Cladosporium sp. BAB-4033
Lineage: Eukaryota; Fungi; Ascomycota; Dothideomycetes; Cladosporiales; Cladosporiaceae
Description: eukaryotic LSU rRNA
Rfam family: 5.8S ribosomal RNA (bases 183-336)
Source: RNAcentral
GUAGGUGAACCUGCGGAGGGAUCAUUNCAAGUGACCCCGGUUUACCACCGGGAUGUUCAUAACCCUUUGUUGUCCGACUCUGUUGCCUCCGGGGCGACCCUGCCUUCGGGCGGGGGCUCCGGGUGGACACUUCAAACUCUUGCGUAACUUUGCAGUCUGAGUAAACUUAAUUAAUAAAUUAAAACUUUUAACAACGGAUCUCUUGGUUCUGGCAUCGAUGAAGAACGCAGCGAAAUGCGAUAAGUAAUGUGAAUUGCAGAAUUCAGUGAAUCAUCGAAUCUUUGAACGCACAUUGCGCCCCCUGGUAUUCCGGGGGGCAUGCCUGUUCGAGCGUCAUUUCACCACUCAAGCCUCGCUUGGUAUUGGGCAACGCGGUCCGCCGCGUGCCUCAAAUCGACCGGCUGGGUCUUCUGUCCCCUAAGCGUUGUGGAAACUAUUCGCUAAAGGGUGCUCGGGAGGCUACGCCGUAAAACAACCCCAUUUCUAAGGUUGACCUCGGAUCAGGUAGGGAUACCCGCUGAACUUAAGCAUAUCAAUAAGCGGAGGAAAAGAAACCAACAGGGAUUGCUCUAG